RNAcentral lists this non-coding RNA (25 nucleotides) under Rattus norvegicus (Norway rat). Lineage: Eukaryota; Metazoa; Chordata; Mammalia; Rodentia; Muridae. The record is from RNAcentral.
UGGCACUGUUGUUCGUAUGGGGUUA